This 464-nucleotide ribosomal RNA is filed under the name Vreelandella stevensii. RNAcentral describes it as "partial 16S ribosomal RNA". It matches the Rfam family "Bacterial small subunit ribosomal RNA", at positions 338 to 795 of the family's 1533-position model. Lineage: Bacteria; Pseudomonadati; Pseudomonadota; Gammaproteobacteria; Oceanospirillales; Halomonadaceae. The record is from RNAcentral.
CCUACGGAGGCUGCAGUGGGGAAUAUUGGACAAUGGGCGAAAGCCUGAUCCAGCCAUGCCGCGUGUGUGAAGAAGGCCUUCGGGUUGUAAAGCACUUUCAGUGGGGAAGAAAGCCUUGGGGCUAAUACCCUCGAGGAAGGACAUCACCCACAGAAGAAGCACCGGCUAACUCCGUGCCAGCAGCCGCGGUAAUACGGAGGGUGCGAGCGUUAAUCGGAAUUACUGGGCGUAAAGCGCGCGUAGGCGGUCUGAUAAGCCGGUUGUGAAAGCCCCGGGCUCAACCUGGGAACGGCAUCCGGAACUGUCAGGCUAGAGUGCAGGAGAGGAAGGUAGAAUUCCCGGUGUAGCGGUGAAAUGCGUAGAGAUCGGGAGGAAUACCAGUGGCGAAGGCGGCCUUCUGGACUGACACUGACGCUGAGGUGCGAAAGCGUGGGUAGCAAACAGGAUUAGAUACCCGAGUAGUC